Molecule: RNA transcript, 1349 nt
Organism: Rosa rugosa (rugosa rose)
Lineage: Eukaryota; Viridiplantae; Streptophyta; Magnoliopsida; Rosales; Rosaceae
Exons: 6
Source: RefSeq, a predicted model, not a curated record
UAAACUAAUAUGUUCUCAUUGAGCUUCAAUUUUUCUGUGAAGUGAAAUUUUUUUGGUGCAUGGUUUCUUUAGAGCAUAAUUUCAUUCCCUAUUAUUGUUGCCAAUAUAUUAGGUUUGACUAUUAACAAUGCAUGUUGCUAUAUUCAACUAUCUUUAUAUUCAUCAAUAUACAGAAAAGAGUUUCUCAUGAAAAUCAUCUUCAUAUUUCUGUAACAGAACUCUCUGAGAUGGGAUCCUUAUAUUAGUUCUAAUUUCAAUGUCUUUUCAAUAUAGAUUAUUUGUUAAGCUGUAUUGUUUCAAAGUUUCUAAUCAUAUACUUGGAAUUCUGUAAUUGCACGUAGAAAUGCUUUGUGGGAGAUUUGGCAUGCUGGUCCUAUAUGGGUUUGAGAAAGCUAAUUAACCAUCAAAAGUGCAGGCAGUCAUAUAUCUUUCUUGCAUCUUUGGUUCUCGGAUUUGCCUGUGUAAUUCAUCAAGUGCAAGAGGCCUCCAAGUACAAGGCCCUUCACUGUCAUCAAAAACAGGAAGUCUUUGUUUGAAGAUUUAGAAGCACAUUACUAAUACAAGUAAGAGGUGUUAAGAAGCUUCACAUCUCAGGCAUUGAAAACUUCCAGAAUGCACAGUAUUAGUUGUGUCACCUAUGAAGCCAGAUUCCUCUGCUUCAACAAUUCUGUAGACAUGAGGAAGGCGAAUAUGGAUUUUUUGCAUCCAUGUACUGCUAAUAGAGUAACUGAGCUUCCCGGGUUUAAAGAUGAAGUUCAUAUCAGUGUAUACCCAUCCUCUUCACUCCCUCAUGUUUAUCAGUGGCAUUCCGGAGCAGAUGGGUGAUAAGACUUGUGGAUAUUGGAUUAUGCAUUACAUGAGGGAUAUAGUAGAGGACAAAAACCAAGAGUGGAGUGCUAAGUGGGAAAGAAAAGCAAAUCACUAUUACACAAUGGAGAAUGUUGAUGUUGUCCGGGCAGAGUGGGCAAAGUAUGUUAUGAAGUUCAAAGAUAACUAGUGCAUGUGUAGGUUUAUUAACUAGUGCAUCAACUUUUGGACAUGGAUAGUUGAUAUAUAUAUAUAUAUAUAUAUAUAUAUAUAUAUAGGCCAGAUUUUGAUUGCAGUACUGCUAGCUAUUUUGCUAUGUUGUUUAGUUGGUUGCCCACAUUGUGUUGUGCUUCUGGCUUAUUAGCAAGCAGUACUGCAUGCAUAUAUUUUGGUGGCUGCCCAGUUUAGUAUAUAUGGGCCGUUUAGAACUGAUGUUGAUGAUUAGAACUGUGAUGUUGAUGAUUAGGUUCUGAUGUUGAUGAUUAGAACUAUGUACAUGAGACAAUGGUGGAUUAAUGGAAAUUGCAAUGAAUGAUUUUGGA